CUGGGAAACUGCCCGAUGGAGGGGGAUAACUACUGGAAACGGUAGCUAAUACCGCAUAACAGUUUAUGCCGCAUGGCAUAAGAGUGAAAGGCGCUUUCGGGUGUCGCUGAUGGAUGGACCCGCGGUGCAUUAGCUAGUUGGUGAGGUAACGGCUCACCAAGGCCACGAUGCAUAGCCGACCUGAGAGGGUGAUCGGCCACACUGGGACUGAGACACGGUCCAG
This 223-nucleotide ribosomal RNA is filed under the name uncultured bacterium. Its description in RNAcentral is "partial 16S ribosomal RNA". It matches the Rfam family "Bacterial small subunit ribosomal RNA", at positions 118 to 334 of the family's 1533-position model. The record is from RNAcentral.